This 253-nucleotide ribosomal RNA is filed under the name uncultured bacterium. RNAcentral describes it as "partial 16S ribosomal RNA". It matches the Rfam family "Bacterial small subunit ribosomal RNA", at positions 524 to 776 of the family's 1533-position model. The record is from RNAcentral.
UACGUAGGGCGCAAGCGUUAUCCGGAAUUAUUGGGCGUAAAGAGCUCGUAGGCGGUUUGUCGCGUCUGCUGUGAAAGACCGGGGCUCAACUCCGGUUCUGCAGUGGGUACGGGCAGACUAGAGUGCAGUAGGGGAGAUUGGAAUUCCUGGUGUAGCGGUGGAAUGCGCAGAUAUCAGGAGGAACACCGAUGGCGAAGGCAGAUCUCUGGGCCGUAACUGACGCUGAGGAGCGAAAGCGUGGGGAGCGAACAGG